RNAcentral lists this long non-coding RNA (405 nucleotides) under Mytilus galloprovincialis (Mediterranean mussel). Lineage: Eukaryota; Metazoa; Mollusca; Bivalvia; Mytilida; Mytilidae. The record is from RNAcentral.
AUACAAGUGAGAGGUUUAGCUAGCUAUAAAUCCAAGUUCAAUCCACCAUUUGGAAAUGCCUGUAGCAAAUCAGGAAUAUGAUAGUUGUUAUCCAUUCUUUUGAGCUUUUUGCCAUUCGAUUGGGGACUUUCCGUUUUGAAUUUUCCUCGGAGUUCAGUAUUUUUGUGAUUUUACUUUUUAACCUCUUAGAAACACGACUUUCCAAGAGUUGGAGUGCGCGGAGAGUAAUUUUGUCGUUGAAAUUUAAGGGGGAAUGUGUAUGUUGAAUGAGGAAAUUUGAGGGGGGAAUUAUCACGUUUAUUUCAGGAAUUUGAACACCGACCUAGACAAAUAAAAAUUCACAACUAUCACCCAUCUUCUGUAGUAAAAAAAGAUUGAUUUACUUUUGCAGUCUUCGAACAACAC